RNAcentral lists this microRNA precursor (92 nucleotides) under Marmota monax (woodchuck). The record is from RNAcentral. Lineage: Eukaryota; Metazoa; Chordata; Mammalia; Rodentia; Sciuridae.
AUAUGAAUUCCUUGGAAGCCUUUUUAAAAUGCAGAUUCUAAUUCAGUAGGGGCUUAAGAUUUGCAUUUCUAACAAGCUUCCAGAGUUACUGG